CAGGCUUAACACAUGCAAGUCGAGGGGCAGCAUGGUCUUAGCUUGCUAAGGCCGAUGGCGACCGGCGCACGGGUGAGUAACACGUAUCCAACCUGCCGUCUACUCUUGGACAGCCUUCUGAAAGGAAGAUUAAUACAAGAUGGCAUCGUGAGUUCACAUGUUCACAUGAUUAAAGGUAUUCCGGUAGACGAUGGGGAUGCGUUCCAUUAGAUAGUAGGCGGGGUAACGGCCCACCUAGUCUUCGAUGGAUAGGGGUUCUGAGAGGAAGGUCCCCCACAUUGGAACUGAGACACGGUCCAAACUCCUACGGGAGGCAGCAGUGAGGAAUAUUGGUCAAUGGGCGAGAGCCAGAACCAGCCAAGUAGCGUGAAGGAUGACUGCCCUAUGGGUUGUAAACUUCUUUUAUAAAGGAAUAAAGUCGGGUAUGCAUACCCGUUUGCAUGUACUUUAUGAAUAAGGAUCGGCUAACUCCGUGCCAGCAGCCGCGGUAAUACGGAGGAUCCGAGCGUUAUCCGGAUUUAUUGGGUUUAAAGGGAGCGUAGAUGGAUGUUUAAGUCAGUUGUGAAAGUUUGCGGCUCAACCGUAAAAUUGCAGUUGAUACUGGAUAUCUUGAGUGCAGUUGAGGCAGGCGGAAUUCGUGGUGUAGCGGUGAAAUGCUUAGAUAUCACGAAGAACUCCGAUUGCGAAGGCAGCCUGCUAAGCUGCAACUGACAUUGAGGCUCGAAAGUGUGGGUAUCAAACAGGAUUAGAUACCCUGGUAGUCCACACGGUAAACGAUGAAUACUCGCUGUUUGCGAUAUACAGCAAGCGGCCAAGCGAAAGCGUUAAGUAUUCCACCUGGGGAGUACGCCGGCAACGGUGAAACUCAAAGGAAUUGACGGGGGCCCGCACAAGCGGAGGAACAUGUGGUUUAAUUCGAUGAUACGCGAGGAACCUUACCCGGGCUUAAAUUGCAGAUGAAUUACGGUGAAAGCCGUAAGCCGCAAGGCAUCUGUGAAGGUGCUGCAUGGUUGUCGUCAGCUCGUGCCGUGAGGUGUCGGCUUAAGUGCCAUAACGAGCGCAACCCUUGUUGUCAGUUACUAACAGGUUCCGCUGAGGACUCUGACAAGACUGCCAUCGUAAGAUGUGAGGAAGGUGGGGAUGACGUCAAAUCAGCACGGCCCUUACGUCCGGGGCUACACACGUGUUACAAUGGGGGGUACAGAGGGCCGCUACCACGCGAGCGGAUGCCAAUCCCAAAAACCUCUCUCAGUUCGGACUGGAGUCUGCAACCCGACUCCACGAAGCUGGAUUCGCUAGUAAUCGCGCAUCAGCCACGGCGCGGUGAAUACGUUCCCGGGCCUUGUACACACCGCCCGUCAAGCCAUGGGAGCCGGGGGUACCUGAAGUGCGUAACCGCGAGGAGCGCCCUAGGGUAAAACUGGUGACUGGG
RNAcentral lists this ribosomal RNA (1432 nucleotides) under uncultured organism. RNAcentral's name for it is "16S ribosomal RNA". It matches the Rfam family "Bacterial small subunit ribosomal RNA". The record is from RNAcentral.